RNAcentral lists this signal recognition particle RNA (303 nucleotides) under Microcebus murinus (gray mouse lemur). Its description in RNAcentral is "Metazoan signal recognition particle RNA (ENSMICG00000037294.2)". It matches the Rfam family "Metazoan signal recognition particle RNA". Rfam says of the family: The signal recognition particle (SRP) is a universally conserved ribonucleoprotein. The record is from RNAcentral. Lineage: Eukaryota; Metazoa; Chordata; Mammalia; Primates; Cheirogaleidae.
GCCUGGCAUAGUGGUGCACAUGCCUGUAGUCCCAGCUACUCCGGAGGCUGAGGCAAGAGGAUCGCUUGAGCCCAGGGGUGCUAGGCUGUAGUGCGCUAUGCCGAUUGGGUAUUCAUGCUAAGUUUGGCAUCAGUAUGGUGAUCUCCUGGGAGUGGGGAACCCACCAGGUUACCUAAGAGGGGUGAACCAGCCCAGGUCAGGGAAACAGAGCGGGUCAAAACUCCUGCACUGAUCAGUAGUGGGAUUGCCACCGUGAACAGCCACUGCACUCCAGCUGGGGCAACACAGCAAGAUCCUGUCUCU